UCCGGUUUGUCACCGGCAGUCUGGCGUGAGUCCCCAACUUAAUGCUGGCAACACGCCACGGGGGUUGCGCUCGUUGCGGGACUUAACCCAACAUCUCACGACACGAGCUGACGACAGCCAUGCAGCACCUGUGGCACACCCUCGAAGGUCACACGUUUCCGUGCGCUUGCAGUGCCAUGUCAAGUCCAGGUAAGGUUCUUCGCGUUGCAUCGAAUUAAAGAACAUGCUCCGCUGCUUGUGCGGGCCCCCGUCAAUUCUUUUGAGUUUCAACCUUGCGGCCGUACUCCCCAGGCGGCUCAUUUAAUGCGUUAGCUUCGGCGCGGGAGGGGUCGAUACCUUCCACACCUAAUGAGCAUCGUUUACGGCGUGGACUAC
Molecule: unclassified non-coding RNA, 375 nt
Filed under: uncultured Actinomycetes bacterium
Lineage: Bacteria; Bacillati; Actinomycetota; Actinomycetes
Description: uncultured actinobacterium contains 16S-23S intergenic spacer region
Source: RNAcentral